RNAcentral lists this transfer RNA (66 nucleotides) under Latona dysoni. RNAcentral describes it as "tRNA-Tyr". Lineage: Eukaryota; Metazoa; Arthropoda; Branchiopoda; Diplostraca; Sididae. The record is from RNAcentral.
UAGGAGGCGGCUGUUGAGGUGGUGAGUUGUAGCCUCAUUUAUGGGAAUAGUUUAUUCUCCCUCUUG